This 492-nucleotide ribosomal RNA is filed under the name uncultured bacterium. RNAcentral's name for it is "partial 16S ribosomal RNA". It matches the Rfam family "Bacterial small subunit ribosomal RNA", at positions 29 to 507 of the family's 1533-position model. The record is from RNAcentral.
AGUGAACGCUGGCGGUAGGCCUAACACAUGCAAGUCGAACGGCAGCACAGUAAGAGCUUGCUCUUACGGGUGGCGAGUGGCGGACGGGUGAGGAAUACAUCGGAAUCUACUUUUUCGUGGGAGAUAACGUAGGGAAACUUACGCUAAUACCGCAUACGACCUACGGGUGAAAGCAGGGGAUCUUCGGACCUUGCGCGAUUGAAUGAGCCGAUGUCGGAUUAGCUAGUUGGCGGGGUAAAGGCCCACCAAGGCGACGAUCCGUAGCUGGUCUGAGAGGAUGAUCAGCCACACUGGAACUGAGACACGGUCCAGACUCCUACGGGAGGCAGCAGUGGGGAAUAUUGGGCAAUGGGCGCAAGCCUGAUCCAGCCAUACCGCGUGGGUGAAGAAGGCCUUCGGGUUGUAAAGCCCUUUUGUUGGGGAAGAAAAGCAGCAGGUUAAUACCCCGCUGUUCUGACGGUACCCAAAGAAUAAGCACCGGCUAACUUCGUG